This 458-nucleotide ribosomal RNA is filed under the name uncultured bacterium. Its description in RNAcentral is "partial 16S ribosomal RNA". It matches the Rfam family "Bacterial small subunit ribosomal RNA", at positions 338 to 795 of the family's 1533-position model. The record is from RNAcentral.
CCUACGGGUGGCAGCAGUGGGGAAUAUUGCACAAUGGGGGAAACCCUGAUGCAGCGACGCCGCGUGAGUGAAGAAGUAAUUCGUUACGUAAAGCUCUAUCAGCAGGGAAGAAAUACUGACCUUACGGUCAGCAGACGGUACCUGAGUAAGAAGCCCAGGCUAACUACGUGCCAGCAGCCGCGGUAAUACGUAGGGGGCAAGCGUUAUCCGGAUUUACUGGGGGGAAAGGGAGAGUAGACGGUGCUCCAAGUCUGGAGUGAAAUGCCGCAGCUUAACUGCGGAACUGCUUUGGACACUGGCGACCUAGAGUGCGGGGAGGGCAAGCGGAAUUCCUAGUGUAGCGGUGAAAUGCGUAGAUAUUAGGAGGAACCCCUGUGGCGAAGGCGACUUACUGGACCGUAACUGACGUUGAGGCUCGAAAGCGUGGGGAGCAAACAGGAUUAGAUACCCUUGUAGUC